CAUGCGUAUAGCAUGCCGGUGCCCCGCCCGCCCGCUCCUGGCCUUCUGGGGCCACGUCCCGCAGCGCACCAGGCGCUGAUCGCCGUGCCCCAGGCGUCGUACGCCGCGCCUCCAGCAGCGCCGUACGCCGCGCCAUCUCCAGGCGCCUACGCCAUGGCGCCCUACACCGCCCCGCCGCCGGUGCCCUAUGCCGCGGCGCCAUAUGCCGCACUGCCACCGUCGGCGCCGCCGCUCCUGCCGGCUCCAUGGGAUCCGUCCCUUCUCGCGGCGCUCCAAUCCGCCCCCUCACCAGCCAACUACACGGGUGGCGGCGAUUGGUACAUGGAUAGUGGCGCCACCUCUCAUAUGGCUGCCAACCCCGGUACUCUCCACUCCUCAUAUCCUGUUCAUACCUCCAAUCGUAUUACUGUUGGCAAUGGGUCAUCUCUUCCUAUCAUGCACAUAGGCCAUGCUUACUUUCCGUCCACAUCUACACCGAUUUCAUUAUCUAACAUACUUGUCUCUCCCGAACUCAUUACUAAUCUUGUUUCCGUUCGUUCCCUUACUCGUGAUAACCCUGUCACCGUUGAAUUUGACAUGUGUGGUUUUUCUGUCAAGGACGCCCGUACCCGGAUGGUGCUCCACCGAUGUGAUAGCCCCGACGAGCUCUACCCAGUCCACCCACCCGCCUCCACCUCCACCUCUCCGGUCGCCCUCUCCGUCGGUGUGGAUCUUUGGCACGCUCGCUUGGGACAUCCGAACGACACCACCCUUCGUCAUAUUCUUCGGAGUUUUUCUUUCACUUGUAAUAAGACCGACGGUCACACUUGUCAUGCGUGUCGUCUAGGUAAACAUACUCGGCUUCCUUUUAGCACUUCCUCGUCAGUUGCAUCGUAUCCGUUUGAACUACUUCAUAGUGAUGUGUGGACUUCUCCAGUUGCGAGUAAUACCGGCUACACCUAUUAUCUUGUCAUUUUAGAUGAUUUUUCGCACUAUGUGUGGACCUUCCCGUUGCGGCGGAAAUCCGAUGUCAUAUCCAUUCUUACCGCCUUUUACUCCUAUGUCACCACCCAGUUUGGUCGCCCCAUCCACGCUAUCCAAACCGACAACGGGAAGGAGUUCGACAACCUCGCGGUUCGCACCCUCCUCACCACACAUGGCACGAUAUUUCGUCUCACUUGUCCCUAUACCUCGCAACAAAAUGGGCGCGCAGAACGGGUCUUACGCACUCUUAACGAUUGUGUCCGCACCUUGUUAUUUCAUGCUAAUGUGCCACCCCGCUUCUGGCCCGAUGCACUUGCCACCGCAUCCCGCGUCAUCAACAUUCGGCCUUGCCGCGUCCGCGGCAACUUUGCACCACACCACUUGCUUUUCGGGAGCCCCCCAUCCUACGACGAUCUUCGCAUCUUCGGGUGCCUCUGCUAUCCCAGCAUCGCCUCUACCACCCCUCAUAAGCUCGCUCCUCGCUCUCUUGCGUGCGUCUUCUUGGGUUACCCUGCCAACACCAAGGGCUACCGCUGCUACGACCCUGUUUCUCAUCGUGUCUUCACCUCUAGACAC
This 1539-nucleotide ribosomal RNA is filed under the name Triticum aestivum (bread wheat). Its description in RNAcentral is "partial small subunit ribosomal RNA". The record is from RNAcentral. Lineage: Eukaryota; Viridiplantae; Streptophyta; Magnoliopsida; Poales; Poaceae.